Long non-coding RNA from Nicotiana tabacum (common tobacco), 322 nucleotides. RefSeq lists it as uncharacterized. The record is from RefSeq and is a predicted model, not a curated record. Lineage: Eukaryota; Viridiplantae; Streptophyta; Magnoliopsida; Solanales; Solanaceae.
AUUAGGGUCCUUUUGGAUGCCUCCCAAACGAGCAAAAAUAACUCUCUUCCUGUGGGUCUAGUUUCUGAGGUAGCAUGCUCCAGAUGCUUCGAUCGUUUUGGUUGGGACAGACAAAGGGGCAACGACUUGCUCUGGACAUUGGGGCAAUUGCAUCCCUUUGGUAUCUAUACUGCCACAAGACAAUUUGGAGAAAGUAAUUUGGUUGGGUGUUUACUUUGGUAUAUUUUGUUGAGUGGACCUUUCUGGGUUGCGGACUCAACAAGCUGCAAUUGGUGUAAUGCUUGCAUGCUACUUUGUAUGUAGGUUGAAUAUGAUCAUGGAA